Molecule: ribosomal RNA, 497 nt
Filed under: uncultured bacterium
Lineage: Bacteria
Description: partial 16S ribosomal RNA
Rfam family: Bacterial small subunit ribosomal RNA
Source: RNAcentral
GAUGAACGCUGGCGGCGUGCCUAAUACAUGCAAGUCGAGCGAACAGACGAGGAUCUUGCUCCUCUGACGUUAGCGGCGGACGGGUGAGUAACACGUGGAUAACCUACCUAUAAGACUGGGAUAACUUCGGGAAACCGGAGCUAAUACCGGAUAAUAUAUUGAACCGCAUGGUUCAAUAGUGAAAGACGGUUUUGCUGUCACUUAUAGAUGGAUCCGCGCCGCAUUAGCUAGUUGGUAUGGUAACGGCUUACCAAGGCAACGAUGCGUAGCCGACCUGAGAGGGGGUACGGCGACACUGGGGCUGAGACACGGUCCAGACUCCGACGGGAGGCAGCAGUAGGGAAUCUACGGCGAUGGGCGAAAGCCUGACGGAGGAGCGCCGCGUGGGUGAUGAAGGUCUUCGGAUCGUAAAACUCUGUUAUUAGGGAAGAACGAAUGUGUAAGUAACGAUGCACGUCUUGACGGUACCUGAUCAGAAAGCCACGGCUAACUACGUG